Molecule: non-coding RNA, 4709 nt
Organism: Chrysemys picta bellii (western painted turtle)
Lineage: Eukaryota; Metazoa; Chordata; Testudines; Emydidae
Source: RefSeq, a predicted model, not a curated record
CGGUGUAGAUGUGGCCUUAGGUGGGUCAUGACUGCCCAGGUCAGAGGGACAGUGCUGGAAAUACACUAGGGGCUGUUCUUGUAGCGCUGAAGGAGUUUGCGGCACUGUUUGCGAUGGGAAAUGGACUAAAUACAAGGGCCCAUUGCUAGUUCUGGCAGUCAAAUCCCACCUGUGCCGCUUCCAGCAGUGCCCCCAGAGCGUGAGAACCAGCCUCGGGGCACUGCUAGGAACCAGAGCACAAACCCAAACUGGCUGUGAGUUCUGCACCUAGGUGUCACCAACCAGUUAUUAAGUGUGAACUCCUCAGGCACCAUAACAGCCUAACCAGGGCGUCCCAGCCAGGCCCCUUGGGUACGCCGGUCUGUCUCGCCGCCCAGGUGCGUGUACCUUUGUGAUAGCUGGUUCCUUACACCACCAAUCACAGCAAUAUUCAGCUUACUCCCAGCCCCAAAGGGCCAGUCACCUACCUAGGUGAAUCGCACCUCACAUCUCACACCAAAGACAAGGCUUCUAGCCAAUCCUAUAAUAAACUAUCUAAAGAUUUAUUAGCUAGGAAAAGGAAACCAGAGAGUUAUUUACAAGGUUAAAGCAAGUAAACAUAGACGCACAAAUGAGUUACUAUCUCAACUUUCACAAGGAAAUAGAAGCUUCUGUCAUGAGCAAACGCUACAUGCCCUUCAGGACUCACCCCGGCUGAGCAGAUGUGGAUCUCUUGCUUAUGCCUAGAAACCUGCCCACCCCAGAGUCCGAGCAGCCUAGUGACCAUCAGUUCCUUCGUUUGGGGGUUUUAUCCCCAUCCGUCCUUGUGAUCUCAGCUGCAAACUCGGUGAUGGGAGGAAUCCACUAGCACGACUCAUCUUCACAGGGGUGGGGAGGGCAAAACAACAAACAUCUUUUGUCCUCUUUAAUGUCCCACAGUAGUCCGUCUGGUGUCAGUGGCCCUUUCCCGUUGGGCAGGACAUAACACCUUCUGCAGGAGAUCAGCCAUUCACACUAAUUCGUCUCUUUCUCCCCUCUGGCGAGUUACGCAGUCACAGAGACUCACCAUACAACCGCUCACAUGUUACCUUACACUAUGGGAUAGAGACGCUGUAAGUGAGAUGAAUGCAGGCAGCAACACACCAGCAUUCAAUAAAGAAUAAACACUAACAGAUUCCUAUCAUUCCGAUCCCUGUUUUAACAAUACUAACGCCCAGGUGAGCCAGACUGAUUCCACGGUGUGUCUGUCACUGUUCCACUGAGACACGGGGACUCUGGAUUGCCAGUGUCACACCGACCUGGCUUUGUUCGGGUGUGGGGGGUAUAAAGCUCUGACCUGAGCAGGUAGUUGCCACAUUGCUCAGUUGCUCUCCUGUUGCUACAUUUCGCGCUGGAACAGGAACUGACCGGCCCCUUCCUGAGGCCGUUGGGCGUUCAGCUGCUGAAGCAACUGCUCCCCUUCUCCUAUUGUUAUACGGAAUAAACGGCUACCCAGGGAGGUGCCUCUUUGCUGGGAUGAGAGCGUAGCUGUGACGAGCCCUUGGCCCUCCCGCUCGCCACUCUGCACACACUGGAAACGCUGUUACUGUUAUGGCCCCCAAAGGUGCUGGGCGCGGCACAGACAGGAUCUCUCAUCAGCCCAGCAUGUUAGAUCUGAACUCUGUGUAGGAUUCACAGAUAACUACAGAGAUGUUCGCUCCUGUCGGCUGUCCUGCCCCUCGGCCCCUCCCUUUGCAUCCCUUAGUGCCGUGUUUAUCCAACCUUCCCUCGCUGGAAUCCCUUGGACAGAAAUCCUCUCCUAACCCCUAGAGCUGCGCGGGGGCUUGGCCCUGGAGAGCGUGGCUGAAGCUGGAAAUGGAGGUUUCUCUCCUGGAAGGACACCCCUCCCUACGCUAAGCUCGCGGGCUCGUCCAUUCCUCUGAGGACCCCGCUCAGACCCACAUGCAGCUGUUGGGAUUUGUUAUCAGCCAGGCGUCUCACUGCCAUGGGACUGUUCUGUCUUCCAGAGAAACCCGGGUUCUGUCGCGUGUUCCCCCCAGACACCAUGGGGAUCUGUGCUCUGCUCUGCUUCAGUGAUGACGACUGUGCUGGAGCAGAAAAGUGCUGCAGUAAUGGGUGUGGCCGGACUUGCCAAACCCCACAGCAGAGCCGACCAGAGCGAGACCGGGAAGAGCCGAGAGCGUGACAGCAGGGCCUGUGGGGGGAUGGGACAGGAUCCUCCAAUACAGUCCCCACCUGACACCAACCCCGAAUCGUCCGUGGGCCUGAUCUCGCCCAGCACAUGGGUUGUGUAAUAAAGAGCUCAGCUCAGCUGGUCUCCCUGUGAUUUCCUGGAUUGGGCCUCACUGUCCCUGCAUGUCCGCCCCUGCAGCUGGAGCCUGUGCCCCAGGCUAAAGCCCCUGGAGAGACGGGGUCUCCUGGGGGUGGCAGGCACUGGGCAGUGUCACUAGAGCCUGAGCUGCCACAUAGUCCCUGGGCUCCAGAGAGCAGCUGUUCGUGUGCUGGAGACACCAGAUCCCGAGGAUCACAGUCCCCCGCCCCACAGGACCUUCGCUACAAGAGGAUCAUGUUCCCUCUUUAGCCCCACCUCUCGUAGCAUCUCCCCAGCGCAGUGAGCUGCAGACCGUGCCCUGGGGCUGGAUAAACACGGCUUCGCCCCACAGUGGCAGGCUGGCUCUGCCACCCUGAGACUCCCCGCAGAACCUGGGGCUGUUGGACUGUCGCUUUGGGCAGGAGAGGGGAAUGCUGGUGGAGGCCUGGGGGUGUGAGCCGAUUGACCCUGCUCCCUUCCCACACUCUGGUUUGCUUUCCCAUCCCCACUGGAGCGACCAGACCCCGUGCCCGUGAGACCCGCCUCUGAAUCCCAGGGGGAAAGGCUUUCUCUGGGGUUCCUGCUCUGGACCCCAGCCACACCCCACAGGUGCUGAGCUCUGGAAGGGAGAGAUGGGAGCCAGGCAGAGACCUGUGGGUCUGGUCUGAGCUUCGGGGGUGGGUCAGGCACAUUCCUGGCUGGCUCCCGCAGCACUGGGGGAGUGAAAUGGCCACGGUUCACAAACAACAAAGUGAUGGACAGCGAGAGCAGAGACCCCCAGGCUGCCAUGGACAGGAGCAAGCGUGUGUAAGCAGGGUCUGAAGGAGCUCUCCCCUGACAGCUAGUUGGGAGGGGCAGAGACUUCCGGAGCAAACUGUAUUGACAUGAACACACCCACUCUGCCAAGAUAUCCAGCAGCUAGAGGCCUGUUGCUCAGAGUGAUCCCCUUUGACUGGUGCUGGGUUACAAAUCACUUUAGCACUGACUGCAGGGGUAGGUAGUGAAAUGUUAUCAGUGUUGUCGUCUUUAUUGCAUGAAUAAAGGGGACCAGGACUGUGCUUUACCUGUCCCAAAUGAGGGGGUCACCUCAACUGAAAGGACCUCGCUAAGCCAGGGGCUUGCAUACCAGAGCCAUGUGCGAGUAAGAGGGGUGGGGAUGGUGUCCCAGCCAGGAGGUGUGGACUCUCCCCAAGGGUCCCCCAUCUGGUUUAACCUGUUUCUCCCCACUGUUCAAAGACAGAGCUAAAUAGGCCUCAGGGGCUCCCGGCACACACAUUAGGAGCCUUUGUUAUUUUAAGUGUUUAAAUGAGAGUUGAACUCACUGGUGGUGGGUCAGUGUUUCUGCCCAGCCUGCUAAAAGCUGAAACUCACUAAGAGACUGACCUGCAGAGGUCACAGCAGAGAGGUGGCAACAGUAGAUAACUGACAGUCAGCUGGCGGGAACAGCGAACAGUCAGCCUGCAGAAGCAGCAAACAGGCGGCCGGUGGGAGUGGAACGAGCGGCUGGCACAGCAGCCAGAAGAGAGGGACCGUGGCUGGCGGGGCGGGCUGGCAGAGCAAGCCAGGUGGAGAGGAAAUGCCCAGCACCCAUGGCAGCUGUGUGAGCCAUUUCUCCAGUGUCCUGCCCCUUGAGCCCCCGCCCCAGAUGACUAUGACCCCUCUGAGCCCUGGCAGGAGGUUCACGGUCCUGGGUGCCAGCCUACAGAGGAGUUCGGUAGGACUGGUAUUGUCAUUAACAUCCAGCCAUUGGCUUCCACUGCAGGUGAGGCCCUGGGCAGAGGGCAGCCCACGCCGCUCUCUGCCUGGCCCUACAAACAUGGAGGCCGUUCUCUAGGGCUAUUCCCAGGCACUGGCCGUGCUGGUGCAUCAGGCUACAUCACCAUCGCCAGAAGGGCCAGCAGCUCGAGUGCUGGGAGCAGGGGCUGGAUCACUGGCUGAGAAACAGGAGUGGGGGCGAGCCAGUGCCCAGAGCGAUGGGGUAAUGGCACGUGUGACCCUUCUGCCAGGUGGAGUCGGCAGCAACCAGGGCCGGGUUCAAUAUCUAGGGGAUCCUCUUUAACAAUAUGACACAGAACCAGCUCGAGCCCCACCACAGUAACCUGGGAAAAUUACACACCAUCCUGGGCACCUCUGCGAGGCCAUACUUCCCCUCUCACAAGCACAGCGUCUGAGUGCAGCAAAGAAACUUGUAAUGAAAGGAGGGAAGUCACCGGACAUUAAUUAGGGAAAAUGCCACAAGCAGGAUUCAUAGUCAUACAGCUGUGAGCAGGACGCCCACCCCGGAGUGCGUGGGGCAGAGCCUUCCGCCUCGUGUUCUUGAGUUCUACAGCCAACAGUUCCUUUUCCAUCAGGGGCUCGUUCACCUGCACAUCUACCAAUGUGAUAUAUGCCAUCAUGUGCCAGCAAUGCCCCUCUGCCA